Pygocentrus nattereri (red-bellied piranha) is the source of this 543-nucleotide non-coding RNA. The record is from the annotation of a RefSeq genome assembly. Lineage: Eukaryota; Metazoa; Chordata; Actinopteri; Characiformes; Serrasalmidae.
GCAACCAUGACUUUGGUCUCCAUCUUCAUCUGGACGCUCACCCUCUGGACUCAAGGAUCCAGUGGUCAGGUCACAGUGACUCAGACACCUGCAGUGAAAACUGUUUCUCCAGGAGACUCAGUUACCAUCAGCUGUAAGUUCAGCAGCAAUGUUAAUCCCUACUGUGGUGGGUCAAAUGACUGUUUAUCCUGGUAUCAGCAGAAACCUGGAGAAGCUCCUAAACUCCUGAUCUACUACGCUACCAGUAGACAGUCAGGUAUUCCAGCUCGUUUCAGUGGCAGUGGAUCUGGAUCUGACUUCACUCUGACCAUCAGUAAUGUCCAGACUGACGAUGCAGGAGAUUUUUACUGUCAGAGUUUUCAUUAUAUCAGUAGCACACACCUGUUCCCACAGCUGUGUGAUGAAUCCAGUGUGACAGUGGGCCACAGGUCUAGAGGGCUUGGAGAUCUGGAAGAGGAGUUUGAUUUAGACGGCACCAAGACAGACACAGGCACAGAAAAAGUACAGAUGCCUUUGAACUUUGGUGCUGGUCAAGACGUUUGA